RNAcentral lists this transfer RNA (85 nucleotides) under Medicago truncatula (barrel medic). Its description in RNAcentral is "tRNA gene5638". The stretch from base 12 to 83 matches the Rfam family "tRNA". From Rfam's summary of the family: Transfer RNA (tRNA) molecules are approximately 80 nucleotides in length. Their secondary structure includes four short double-helical elements and three loops (D, anti-codon, and T loops). The record is from RNAcentral. Lineage: Eukaryota; Viridiplantae; Streptophyta; Magnoliopsida; Fabales; Fabaceae.
ACGACAGUAAUGCGUUUGUAGUCCAACGGUUAGGAUAAUUGCCUUCCAAGCAAUAGACCUGGGUUCGACUCCCGGCAAACGCAUA